Molecule: ribosomal RNA, 253 nt
Filed under: uncultured bacterium
Lineage: Bacteria
Description: partial 16S ribosomal RNA
Rfam family: Bacterial small subunit ribosomal RNA
Source: RNAcentral
UACGAAGGGGGCUAGCGUUGUUCGGAAUUACUGGGCGUAAAGGGCGCGUAGGCGGCUCUGAUCGUCGGAUGUGAAAGGCCUGGGCUCAACCUGGGAAUGGCAUCCGAUACGGCGGGGCUGGAGUGUGGGAGAGGUUGGUGGAAUUCCCAGUGUAGAGGUGAAAUUCGUAGAUAUUGGGAAGAACACCGGUGGCGAAGGCGACUACCUGGCCUGUUCUUGACGCUGAGGCGCGAAAGCUAGGGGAGCAAACGGG